Molecule: ribosomal RNA, 492 nt
Filed under: uncultured bacterium
Lineage: Bacteria
Description: partial 16S ribosomal RNA
Rfam family: Bacterial small subunit ribosomal RNA
Source: RNAcentral
AGUGAACGCUGGCGGUAGGCCUAACACAUGCAAGUCGAACGGCAGCACAGUAAGAGCUUGCUCUUACGGGUGGCGAGUGGCGGACGGGUGAGGAAUACAUCGGAAUCUACUUUUUCGUGGGGGAUAACGUAGGGAAACUUACGCUAAUACCGCAUACGACCUACGGGUGAAAGCAGGGGAUCUUCGGACCUUGCGCGAUUGAAUGAGCCGAUGUCGGAUUAGCUAGUUGGCGGGGUAAAGGCCCACCAAGGUGACGAUCCGUAGCUGGUCUGAGAGAAUGAUCAGCCACACUGGAACUGAGACACGGUCCAGACUCCUACGGGAGGCAGCAGUGGGGAAUAUUGGACAAUGGGCGCAAGCCUGAUCCAGCCAUACCGCGUGGGUGAAGAAGGCCUUCGGGUUGUAAAGCCCUUUUGUUGGGAAAGAAAAGCAGCAGGUUAAUACCCCGCUGUUCUGACGGUACCCAAAGAAUAAGCACCGGCUAACUUCGUG